CCUACGGGGUGCUGCAGUGGGGAAUAUUGCACAAUGGGGGAAACCCUGAUGCAGCAACGCCGCGUGAGUGAAGAAGUAUUUCGGUAUGUAAAGCUCUAUCAGCAGGGAAGAAGAUGACGGUACCUGAUUAAGAAGCCCCGGCUAACUACGUGCCAGCAGCCGCGGUAAUACGUAGGGGGCAAGCGUUAUCCGGAUUUACUGGGUGUAAAGGGAGCGCAGACGGCAGUGCAAGUCUGGAGUGAAAGCCCGGGGCCCAACCCCGGAACUGCUCUGGAAACUGUGCGGCUAGAGUACUGGAGGGGCAGGCGGAAUUCCUAGUGUAGCGGUGAAAUGCGUAGAUAUAUGGAAGAACACCAGUGGCGAAGGCGGCCGCCUGGCCUGUUAACUGACGCUGAGGCACGAAAGCGUGGGGAGCAAAUAGGAUUAGAUACCCCUGUAGUC
RNAcentral lists this ribosomal RNA (441 nucleotides) under uncultured bacterium. RNAcentral describes it as "partial 16S ribosomal RNA". It matches the Rfam family "Bacterial small subunit ribosomal RNA", at positions 338 to 795 of the family's 1533-position model. The record is from RNAcentral.